UCAAAUCCAUAGGGUUUUUUUCUUUAUUAUUGUUACGUGUGUGUGUGUGUGUGUGUGUGUGUGUGUGUGUGUGUUUUAUGUACAAGUGCGCACAAUUAUGUAAGUACAACCUACUGAGUUUGAUAUUGCUGUUUAUGUGUGUAUAUGGUUUUUGGGAGGACCACUUUGUAUUAGAGAACCAGGAAGGGGCUCAUCCCUGGGAGAAGGCUAACUCUCCUUCUCCUGGCAGCAUUGAGACCCAGGUAGCAUCUGACGUUUCCAAGGACUGGGAGGACACAUUGCAUUUGCUUGCCUGGGUCUCGUGACUUUGGGCUGGCUACUCCCUAUCAUCUAGGCUCCUCACCAGAAUGAAGGUAGCACAGGGUCACAUCCCUUGGGACAGUUGUGAGGAUGCUGCCCCCAUGCAGAGCCUGGUGGGACCUGGGGCACUGUCAGUGGUCUCUGGGAAUUGUUUGCUUUUCUGGUUUUAAGACAUGUUUGGGAGUUGGACGUGGUGGCACACACCGUUAAUCUCAGCACUCAGAAGGCAGGGGCAGGUGGAUCUCAGUGAGUUCAAGGCCAGCCUGGUCUACAGAGUGAGUUCCAGGACAGCCAGGGCUACACAGAGAAACCCUGCCUCAGAAAAACAAACAAACAAACAAACAGACAGACAGAAGAACUGCAUUUGGGGUUUUGUUUUCUGUUUCCCAUUGUUCGCUACUUGUAGAGACAUCCUGUCCAUCCUGUCCAUCUGUCCUCCUUUUCUUCCUUUCAUUUUUCAAAUUUUGGCACUUUUUGUUUUGGUUUGGUUUGGUUGGUUUUGGUUUUUUGUAUUUAUUCCUUUCUCUUUUUUAAUUUUCUUUCUUUUUUUGACACAGGUAUAGGAUUUUGAUUGUUGGUGUACAGGGAGGCUACUGAGUUGUGUGUUGCUUUUGUUUCCUGGUGCUUUGCUGAACGGAUGGGUAAGAUCUAGUUUUCUUGGGGAGUCCUCUGAGUCUUUAAGUACAGGUCUAUGUCAGCUGCAAAUAGGGAUGCUUAGACUUCUCCUUUCCUGUUUGUAUCUUUGUUUCUUUCUCUUAUCGCCCUCUCUAUGAGUGUAAGUGCUAUAGUGAGCAGGAGCAACAGGAAGGGCCCCUCAAGGGGCAUUUGUGUUGUGUGCAGUGUCUGGUCGCUGGGAAGCAUCCUCUGCUCUCCACACACAGCCACUGCAUACGUGAAUACAUCUGCAUGUGCGUGUGCGUGUGCAUGUGUGUGUGCUUUGGACACAUGCAUCUUCGUGUGUCAUGUGUAUAUACACACAGGCAGAUACAGAAAAAAGAAGAGUGAGCAUAAUGCUCACUUUCCUUAUUCUGAUAUUGGAGGAAAUGCUUUCGCUUUCCCUGUCUAUAGUUUUCUGUAUACAGCCUUUGUCACAUUACAAUCUACUCCUUAUGUUCUUAGUUCCCUCAUGAAGUGACACUGAACUUUCUCUAAGGCCUUUUCCACAUCUACAGAGGUGAUCAGGUGAUUUCUGUCCUACAGUGUGUUUCUUUUCUCUUUCCUUUUUAAAAUAUUUAUUGAUUUAUUUUAUAUAAGUACACUAUAGCUGUCUUCAGAAAUGCCAGAAGAAGGCAUUGGAUCCCAUUACAGAUGGUUGCGAGCCACCAUGUGGUUGCUGGGAAUUGAACUUGCUGAGCCAUCUCUCUGGCACCCCUAAAGUGUGUUUCUAUGUUGUGUUACAGUCCUUGGUUUCAUAUGCUGGAGCAACUGUGUAGCCCCUGGUUACCUUGAUCAUGACUCACCUUGGUCUUGGUGUGUGCUUGAAUUCUAUAUAUAGGUAUUUGAUUGACCAUUUUCAUGUCUAUGCUCACCAGCGAAAGUGGACUAAUAGUCUUUUUUUUUUUUUUUAAUUUUGAGCAGGCCUCACUAUGUAGCCUUUGUUGGCCUGGAGCUCACAGAAAUCCACCUGCCUCUGCCUCCCCAGGUAGUCAGACUAGAGGUUGAACAUGUCAGCUGGUCUACAGGGCAGGUAUGUAAAAGUGUGUUCUUCAGUUCGAAUGACUGUGUAGUUUCUGCGAUUGGUUUUGUUACUUAUUUCUAGUUUCAUUUCACUGUGGUCCCAUAAGACACUAGAAAAUUCCUGACUCUUUUACCUUUGUCUCUUUUACAUUUGUUAAAGCAUGCUUUGUGGCCUAGAAGGUGGUCUAAUCUUGAGACAGACCCUUGGGCUGCCAAGAUGUACAUUUUACCUCCUCUACUAGGUAAAAGGUUCCAGACAGAGCUUU
This 2243-nucleotide long non-coding RNA is filed under the name Mus musculus (house mouse). Its description in RNAcentral is "long non-coding RNA chr1:91189613-91191856". Lineage: Eukaryota; Metazoa; Chordata; Mammalia; Rodentia; Muridae. The record is from RNAcentral.